Amphiprion ocellaris (clown anemonefish) is the source of this 1184-nucleotide long non-coding RNA. RefSeq lists it as uncharacterized. The transcript has 3 exons. NCBI's taxonomy places the organism in Eukaryota, Metazoa, Chordata, Actinopteri, Pomacentridae. The record is from RefSeq and is a predicted model, not a curated record.
AGACUAGUGAGGGAGACCACCAAGACACCUAUGACCACUGUUCCCUCUAAGCUGCGUGCGUGCGCAAUUGCGCACUGCUGACACGGUCUCCGCGCACAGAAAAUCUGCGCUGCGCACAAAAAAAAAUCCAACCUAAAUUGUAAAUAAAAUAAACACGUAACAAUUCAUUCUGUGCUAUUUUUCAGUGUGAGUCAGUGAGUGACCAGUGACUGACUGCUGCAGCCAAUGAUGCGAUUCACAUAAGUAUUUACCAUAGACUGUAUAUAAUGGUAUUUACGCAGCUAAUCAACGUCAGGCGUCCUUAUGUGCAGCCAGCGUUGUUCUCAUAGAUAUGAAUGAGUAGAUAGGACACGCCCCUUUGAGCUGCGUGCUACAGCGAGGCUAAGCUAGUGGGGGCAAAGUUUCAGUGCAUUCUGUUGAUGUAGACGGCGUGAAAACGGAAACAAGAAGUAUGCCGUCUCACUGUGCUGCAUACAAUUACACACUACGUCGUACGAUUGAGACAAGGAAACUUGGAAUGACUUUUCAUAGGUUUCCCAGAGACUAUGGGUUGAGGAGGAAUUGGAAGUUUGUCGGCUUAGACCUGGUGUCAUUCCAUCAGUGUUAAACUUCCCGGCUCAUCUUGGAAGAGUCUGUGCCAGAAAGACCACGACCAAGCAGCCUUGAGAUCUUAGCCAGCAUCUCCCUGAGGUCCCUCGCUAUCUCCCCACACAUCCACCAACCACUGGAACACAUCUCCAAAGUUCUGCCGGGCCAGCUCAGCUUCCCCUCAGAAGAAGUGCCACCACCUGCCAGAUGAAGGAGCCUUUUGAGAGGCAGCUGGCAUCGUGAUUGGACUGUACUUUGGUCUGUUCCAAUCCAGCUUCAGCUCCAGAGACGGCAGGCGGGACGAGUCAACGGAGGCCGGGUGGACAAAGGCAUGCAGCUUAGUACAAUCCAGAAAACAACAGAGGAGGAGUGCAGUGACCCAGGGCCAGAACAAACAGUAUGUCUCUUAGAAAACAUCAUAGUAUAGCCUUUGGUAUGAAAAAACACCAUCAUAUGCAUCGUAUAUUGUACAAAAAACAAGUCAAAGGAAAGAGACAUACAUUGUAGAAUUGUAGUAAUUGUGGGCUGACUGAUUUACUGAUUAUCAGUAUUUUAUUUUUUACUGAUUUACGGUAAUAAAUACAUUUAAAAAUGGC